RNAcentral lists this transfer RNA (76 nucleotides) under Candidatus Uhrbacteria bacterium. Its description in RNAcentral is "tRNA-Thr". It matches the Rfam family "tRNA". From Rfam's summary of the family: Transfer RNA (tRNA) molecules are approximately 80 nucleotides in length. Their secondary structure includes four short double-helical elements and three loops (D, anti-codon, and T loops). Lineage: Bacteria; Candidatus Uhriibacteriota. The record is from RNAcentral.
GCCGUCUUAGCUCAGCUGGUAGAGCAAUAGUUUUGUAAACUAUAGGUCAUCGGUUCGAAUCCGAUAGACGGCUCCA